UUCUUUCUUUGUAGUGAUGAAUAAGAUUCCAUUGUCUGGCUGUACCACAGCUUUUUUAUCCAUUCACCUACUGAAGGACAUCCUGGUGG
Molecule: non-coding RNA, 89 nt
Organism: Ceratotherium simum simum (southern white rhinoceros)
Lineage: Eukaryota; Metazoa; Chordata; Mammalia; Perissodactyla; Rhinocerotidae
Source: RefSeq, a predicted model, not a curated record